CUCUAUUAUCUUUGCUCAAAGAGCAGACAGUGCUCUAGCUGUUUUCCCCUGCUUAGCUUUGAUCCCUGCAGCCAUGCUCAGCCCUUCCCCCAAGCCCUCCCUUCCAGAUGGAUUGAGGCUGUUGAGACUCCAGGGGUGUUCGGGGCUGGGAGCCUGCUGAGUGUUCCCUGUUCCCACCUCCAAUCUGCUCCAUCCUCCAGCUGCAUUUCAUUCCGGAUCUACCAGAGUCUUAUUCUGUCACCUAGGCUGGAGUACAGUGGUGCAAUCACAGCUCACUGCAGCCUCGAUCUCCUGGACUCAACUAAUCCUCCUGCCUCAGCCUUCUGGGUAGUUGAGACUACAGAUACAGAAGAUGAGAGAGAGAAAAAGAGAGAAAUUACAGAGUGACGGAGAAGGCAGACAUCAUGCAACAUGCUCAAGGGCUAUUCAUUUUAAGCUGAAACAUACAUGUGUAGAAAGCAUCCUUGUACUUAUAAUCCCAAUGACUAUGAAGAAAAAUAAUUUAGCCAAAUAGUUCCUAGAACAGGAAAAAUAAGGAAUUAUAUUUUGAGAUAAGAAGUUAAGCUCUAGUAUAACAAUGAUAUGGGUCAAAGAAAAAUGAAAACAAAUUUUAAAAACGUUGCAACAUGAAUAAAAGUUUCACCAAAUCGGGAGUCUAUUAUAAGCAUGUUUUGAGUUAUUUUCUUUCCCAAAGACUUCAUUUUUGUUUCAAUUUAUUUCAGUAGUAUACACUUCUGAAAAUAUUUAACUAAUGUCGUACUGGUUCUCGUAAAAGGUGAGGUGGAGCAAUUCCAUUAAGCUAUAGUGAGGUGAAGAGAGAAUAUCUGGUGAAUGAAUUUGAAAUAAGCUCCUUCGCGAUAUGCCCCUUCCAUAACCUCUGUAUCCUUGUCAUCCCAAACUGCCCACAUUUCGCUGAACUCCUUGCACUUCUCAGAGGACAUCUUACCUGUCAACCCACGGUAUCAGUUGGCUGGGGGAGGUCCCCAAAUACUGGUGAGACCCUGACCCCUGCUAAUGUCCAGGCACCUGACACCGAUAUAGAAGGAAUCCAAAGACGACGAGUCAGAAAACAGUGACUGUAUGAAGAUUUACUGCAAAGUGAAUCUCCACGGAAGUGCAGUUCAGGCCUACUCAAGAGAGAGACACUCCCAGAGGGGCUUGGGGCUGCUAUCUUUAUGGGUUUCUUUAGCCAAAGGGUGAAAUAUUCAUGAAGAUUUCUGGAAAAAAGGUGAAGAUUUCUUGGAACUGUGGUGCCACCCAUUUUUACACCAAAUAUGGGUGUUCCCAGAAGUGUCAUGGCAUUGGUGGGUAUGUAAUUUAGUAUGUUAAUGAAUGUACAGUGAAGUCCUCAUGAGACCUAGGUGAAAUCCAGCACCAUGUUGGGUCCAGUCAGCCUCAGCCAGCUUGGUCUACACCCUGGUUUGCAAAGUAUCAGCCCCUAGUUUAUGCAGCUAUUUCAACAGUUUCCUUUUUGCUAGUCAUGUGAAACUGCUGCCUAGAAUUUUCUAUUCUCCUACCACCACCCUGUAUUAUUCCUGUCUCACUACCCUUCAACUUCCACCCCCUUUUCCUCUAGAUACUUGUAUAGUACUCUUCAGACAUAGGAGUGUGGAAAUCGUCCCCUGCGUCCCAGUCUGAGACAGGUAGUUCUUUUUUUUGCCAUCGCAUCUCAUGCACGCCUCUCUGAAUCACUGGUUUUCUUGACUGUCUCCCUCAGCAGAGACACCACGGAAGGCAUCUUAAUUGUACAUUCAGCAUUUAGCAUAUGGAAGCAUUAAAGAUGUUAUGCAAAAAACAUAAGC
This 1802-nucleotide long non-coding RNA is filed under the name Homo sapiens (human). RNAcentral describes it as "HSALNT0403194". Lineage: Eukaryota; Metazoa; Chordata; Mammalia; Primates; Hominidae. The record is from RNAcentral.